Molecule: ribosomal RNA, 253 nt
Filed under: uncultured bacterium
Lineage: Bacteria
Description: partial 16S ribosomal RNA
Rfam family: Bacterial small subunit ribosomal RNA
Source: RNAcentral
UACGUAGGGACCAAGCGUUGUUCGGAUUUACUGGGCGUAAAGCGUGCGCAGGCGGUUUUGUAAGUCUGUCGUGAAAGCCCCGGGCUCAACCUGGGAAUUGCGAUGGAGACUGCAAGGCUUGAAUCUGGCAGAGGGGGGUAGAAUUCCACGUGUAGCAGUGAAAUGCGUAGAGAUGUGGAGGAACACCGAUGGCGAAGGCAGCCCCCUGGGUCAAGAUUGACGCUCAUGCACGAAAGCGUGGGGAGCAAACAGG